UAGCUAGUUGGUGAGGUAAAGGCUUACCAAGGCGACGAUCUGUAGCGGGUCUGAGAGGAUGAUCCGCCACACUGGAACUGAGACACGGUCCAGACUCCUACGGGAGGCAGCAGUGGGGAAUUUUGGACAAUGGGGGCAACCCUGAUCCAGCCAUGCCGCGUGAGUGAAGAAGGCCUUCGGGUUGUAAAGCUCUUUCGGCCGGGAAGAAAUCGCAUGGGCCAAUACCCUGUGUGGAUGACGGUACCGGAAUAAGAAGCACCGGCUAACUACGUGCCAGCAGCCGCGGUAAUACGUAGGGUGCGAGCGUUAAUCGGAAUUACUGGGCGUAAAGCGUGCGCAGGCGGUUUUGUAAGACAGGCGUGAAAUCCCCGGGCUUAACCUGGGAACUGCGUUUGUGACUGCAAGGCUAGAGUACGGCAGAGGGGGGUGGAAUUCCACGUGUAGCAGUGAAAUGCGUAGAGAUGUGGAGGAACACCAAUGGCGAAGGCAGCCCCCUGGGUCGAUACUGACGCUCAUGCACGAAAGCGUGGGUAGCAAACAGGAUUAGAUACCCUGGUAGUCCACGCCCUAAACUAUGUCAACUAGGUGUUGGGUGGGUAAAACCAUUUAGUACCGUAGCUAACGCGUGAAGUUGACCGCCUGGGGAGUACGGCCGCAAGGUUAAAACUCAAAGGAAUUGACGGGGACCCGCACAAGCGGUGGAUGAUGUGGAUUAAUUCGAUGCAACGCGAAAAACCUUACCUACCCUUGACAUGCCAGGAACUUGCCAGAGAUGGCUUGGUGCCCGAAAGGGAGCCUGGACACAGGUGCUGCAUGGCUGUCGUCAGCUCGUGUCGUGAGAUGUUGGGUUAAGUCCCGCAGCGAGCGCAACCCUUGUCGUUAAUUGCCAUCAUUUAGUUGGGCACUUUAACGAGACUGCCGGUGACAAACCGGAGGAAGGUGGGGAUGACGUCAAGUCCUCAUGGCCCUUAUGGGUAGGGCUUCACACGUCAUACAAUGGUCGGUACAAAGGGUUGCCAAGCCGCGAGGCGGAGCCAAUCCCAGAAAGCCGAUCGUAGUCCGGAUUGCAGGCUGCAACUCGCCUGCAUGAAGUCGGAAUCGCUAGUAAUCGUGGAUCAGCAUUUCACGGUGAAUACGUUCCCGGGUCUUGUACACACCGCCCGUCACACCAUGGGAGCGGGUUCCGCCAGAAGUAGGUAGCCUAACCGCAAGGGGGGCGCUUACCACGGCGGGGUUCGUGACUGGGGUGAAGUCGGAACAAGGUAGCCGUAGGGGAACCUGCGGCUG
RNAcentral lists this ribosomal RNA (1287 nucleotides) under metagenome. RNAcentral's name for it is "bacterial SSU rRNA". It matches the Rfam family "Bacterial small subunit ribosomal RNA", at positions 242 to 1520 of the family's 1533-position model. The record is from RNAcentral.